GGCUGUUCGACAUCUUUUUUAAGAUUUGUUGAAAUCGUGAAACGCAGCAACUCAUGUAUUUUUUCGUCUGCUACUAGUGACUUGUGUAGUUCUGCGAAAUAUUUAUUUAAAAAAAAAACAGUGAUAGAAAAGGGGGUUAAGACCUCUUUUGAACUCAGAUACUUCAAUAUCAACAAUGAGGAAGAGGAUGAUGAUGAUGACAAGGAAUAAGUUCGUCUCCCCGUUGUUUCGUUUUUGCUGUAAAGUAAUAAAAAAUGACCAUUAUAUUUGUACAAUUGUUACUGCAUUAAACUUGACACCAUUCCU
RNAcentral lists this long non-coding RNA (306 nucleotides) under Daphnia magna. RNAcentral describes it as "uncharacterized LOC123471117". The record is from RNAcentral. Lineage: Eukaryota; Metazoa; Arthropoda; Branchiopoda; Diplostraca; Daphniidae.